This 254-nucleotide unclassified non-coding RNA is filed under the name Hevea brasiliensis (rubber tree). The record is from RNAcentral. Lineage: Eukaryota; Viridiplantae; Streptophyta; Magnoliopsida; Malpighiales; Euphorbiaceae.
CGAGUCCCAUAAUGCCAGAUGUACAUAACAAGCAUAAAGAUGACUGAGAGCACAAUAGGAGCCCAACCCCCCUGGGGCACCUUCAUGAGGGCUGCUGAAAGGUAGACACCCUCAAUGAACCAGAAAAAUAUCAGGAAAGAGGCGGCCAGCAAGACACUUUUCUGCCAAACGAAGAUUAUGACAAGUGACAUGAGAAAUGUCGUGGUGUACAUUACUGUCAUACAUGCAAGUCCAUAAGCAUUUCCAAUGAGAGU